This 200-nucleotide long non-coding RNA is filed under the name Elaeis guineensis (African oil palm). RNAcentral's name for it is "long non-coding RNA (EGUI_LNC012742)". Lineage: Eukaryota; Viridiplantae; Streptophyta; Magnoliopsida; Arecales; Arecaceae. The record is from RNAcentral.
GGGUCAUUCUUAAGUUUUCUUUGAUGGCUGUUCACCAGUAGCCUUGACUUCAUCAAGAAGUAUCAUAGGGAGGUCGGGCAAUCCGAUCGAGUGUCUGGUGUCAAGUGGUGGUAGCACCGGUGGCUGGAAAAUAGGAAGAUGGAACUUGAUUGAUUUUUGGCCAAGUGUGGGCCCGUGAAGAGCCUUACAGGGCUAUGGGG